AACCGAGAUUCCCCCAGUAGCGGCGAGCGAACGGGGAGCAGCCCAGAGCCUGAAUCAGUGUGUGUGUUAGUGGAAGCGUCUGGAAAGGCGCGCGAUACAGGGUGACAGCCCCGUACACAAAAAUGCACAUACUGUGAGCUCGAUGAGUAGGGCGGGACACGUGGUAUCCUGUCUGAAUAUGGGGGGACCAUCCUCCAAGGCUAAAUACUCCUGACUGACCGAUAGUGAACCAGUACCGUGAGGGAAAGGCGAAAA
RNAcentral lists this ribosomal RNA (255 nucleotides) under Escherichia coli. RNAcentral's name for it is "partial 23S ribosomal RNA". It matches the Rfam family "Bacterial large subunit ribosomal RNA", at positions 227 to 520 of the family's 2925-position model. The record is from RNAcentral. Lineage: Bacteria; Pseudomonadati; Pseudomonadota; Gammaproteobacteria; Enterobacterales; Enterobacteriaceae.